UAGAGUUAGUAUGAUACUGGUUUUAUUUAUGUUUGAUUUUGACGGUGAAUGUUGGAUUUUGGGCCCAUGAGAUGCCUUUCAUUUUCGCACAUUCUCUCUUGGCCCUAGAAUCGCUCUCUUCCUCCUUGAUGUCUCUCUUUGCUAGGGCUCUUUGUAGUUCUAAUGGCAGUUUUAUUGACAGGAAUGUCCAAAGCUUUCUCAAAUAUCCCACCACUCUUCCAAACCUUUACGUGGUAGAGGGAUUUGAUUCAAUGGCUCUCACUUCAUAACCAUCACAGGUACCUGCAAAGCUAUUCUUAUGCUAUUCUUCGUUGAUGCCGCAUUAGAAUUUUAAGAUCUAUGCUACUUUAUUCACUCCAAUCGUGCUAAGGAUUUCGUGAAUGACCAAGUGUAUCUGAUCAACUCUUGAGGAUGACCACUAGAGCAACUCCAAUACUAUAACGGACGAUAUCGAUGUCGCCGAAGUCAUAGGAGAUGAAGCGCAAAGACGAAUGUCAUCCAUGACUAUUGGUGCUAUUAAUUCGUUGGUCGUGAAACAUGGAAUUUUUUUUUAAAUUUUAGCAAAAGUCUUAGCUAGAAUUUUAUCAUGAUGACUUUGAUUCUCUAAACUCUACUUUUUGAAAGUUAUUCACUUCUUAAGUGAAACAUGUAUUUGGACCGAGUUAGCUAAUAUGAUGGUAUUGACAUUUUUGUAAA
Humulus lupulus (European hop) is the source of this 696-nucleotide long non-coding RNA. RefSeq lists it as uncharacterized. The record is from RefSeq and is a predicted model, not a curated record. Lineage: Eukaryota; Viridiplantae; Streptophyta; Magnoliopsida; Rosales; Cannabaceae. The transcript has 2 exons.